Thermosinus carboxydivorans Nor1 is the source of this 178-nucleotide non-coding RNA. It matches the Rfam family "6S / SsrS RNA". Rfam says of the family: E. coli 6S RNA was the first non coding RNA to be sequenced, but its function was unknown until recently. It consists of 184 nucleotides that fold into an extended hairpin structure with a large single-stranded internal bulge. Lineage: Bacteria; Bacillati; Bacillota; Negativicutes; Selenomonadales; Sporomusaceae. The record is from Rfam.
AUAUGCCUGGGAUGUUCGUUAGCCUUGAGUUAUGUUCAACCUACGGAAUGACAUCGGGAAUCCGAUGGCGUGUGGCUGCCAAGCCUCCUUUGAGUGGAAGGCAAAAGCACGUCUUAGGAUGCCCACCUGCGAGAAGCGGGUUUCGAACAUAUUAAGGUGACGGCAUCGCGGGCUAAUU